Molecule: non-coding RNA, 983 nt
Organism: Pelobates cultripes (western spadefoot toad)
Lineage: Eukaryota; Metazoa; Chordata; Amphibia; Anura; Pelobatidae
Source: the annotation of a GenBank genome assembly
CUCUGUACAACGAUGUAACUCUCCCAUCAGAAGUACAGCAAUUACCAUCUGCUGUUGAAGGUCCAUUAUCCUGUAACAUCCUUUAUGAUGUUUUAUUAUGUAUCCGUAACAGAAUAAACCUGAAGAAACCGUAAGUCAGAUUGCGUAUUAGUACUUUUCAAUAAUAUAGACAUGUAUUAUUGUGGCGAGCAUUUGGCCCAAGAUUAUAUAUACAAGAGACAUUGAUAUAUAUAUAUCAAUCAACUGAAGACAAGAAGAAAUUAAGAGGAUUCUACAUUAGAUUUUACAUCUGUAGACAAAAUGUCCUGGCAAUACUGACUUGUUUAACUAAAAUCCCCCGGGUCCUACACAAUGCUCUUGUGGCUGGUAAGGAUGAACAUAAAAUGAACCUACUCCCUAGAGCUCUGUAUUUGUUUCCGACAAUCCUGAUCCAACUCCCUAGAUAUUUCUUCUAGGCACUACAGAUUGCCAUUAAAUUUGUAUUGGAGAGGUUUCCCAAGACUCAAAAUGACCCAACUACAAAUCCAAAUAAACUUAGUGCAGAGAACAGUGUAUAUUGCAGAUUACAAAAAUUAAGAAAUAUCUAAUGUAGAUAUUGGGAUACUGAUGCCCACCAGAACCCCCCAUGUUUAAUUAUUGAGAAUAGCACUGUAAAGCUUACCAUUGCCAGUUAAACAGAACUAUCACUGCAAACCCUCCAUCACCAUUUCAUUUGUUACUGGCAGGGGCGUACCUAGGACAUUUGGCCCCUGCGGCACACCCUGUGUAUGAGUAAACAUCUAACCUUUUGGCUUGCACCACCGAUCCCAGUCCAAUUACAAUAAAGUGGUUCACUUUAGAGAACAGAGGUAAGGAACCUUUAGCACUUCCAGUGUUGUGGACUACAUCCCCCCCUGUGUGUUUGCCAGCAUUAUGAGAGAUGUCUUCCACAAUAUCUGAAAUUUGAAGUAUCUAACCCUGGUAUAGAUAAUACUGGAAGAUUU